Molecule: long non-coding RNA, 2371 nt
Filed under: Chinchilla lanigera (long-tailed chinchilla)
Lineage: Eukaryota; Metazoa; Chordata; Mammalia; Rodentia; Chinchillidae
Description: lncRNA (ENSCLAG00000029173.1)
Source: RNAcentral
AGGGGGCGUCCCGCGGGCUCGGACCGCGCAGCCGGGACCCGAGGGGCCGCGCCGCCUCCUCCCAGCCGGCAGCCCCGGCUCGGCGGGAGCUUCGGAUCCUCUCUGGUCUGCAGCGGAAAGCGGCGGUGGCGGAGACCAGGUCGGGGAGCUCUGCGACUUGGGGUUCUUCACCAGUCUAGGCCGGACUCCACUGCCACAAAAGUAGAUGGAAACCACACAGGCCCAGGUGAAGGCCCACGCAUUCCUUUGAGAAUGUUUUGAAAGGCACUAAUGGUUUCUCAGAUAAAUGCUUGUCUGCAUGUUCACAGAGUAUUUUGUGUUCGAUAUGAAAAGGCUACAGAGCACUCCCGGCCUCCUGUGUGCUCGGAUCUCCUGUAAUCCCAUGAUUUUAUGUUUAAGCUGAGCCUAUGGCUGUUCAGCAGAAGGCUGUUUCCUAGCUCUCUCGCAGCUGAAUAUGGCCUUGCAGCUAGACUCCAGCCAGUGAAACUCGGGUCCAAAUGUUGCACACACUUCUGUGUUGUAUGCCCGAAAGCUAAGGCAGCAUACUCCACCCCUUCACCCCUCAUCUGGAAAGUGGACGGAAACAAGGAGCAGUGCCACAGACUGCAAGCUGAAAGCCAUGCACUGAGGAGAGCAAGCAAAGAAUCCAGGUCUCCAACACAGAAGCAGCGGGUCACCUCGGCUGCUUGCACUCCCACUGUCAUGAGAGGUAGAAAUUCUUCCCAUCCCAUUGAAGCCACUGACAUUUUCUCCAGUGGUACAGCAGUUAGAUUUACAUCUGAACCAACAAAAGGCCAAGACCUAGAAAGGUAGAUAUCUCAUUCCUUUCUCUGCUGCUAUAACAGUUCCCCAGAGUGGUAGUUUAUAAACCCCAGAAGUUUGUCUGACUCACAGUUCUGAGAUGGAAGUUCAAGAGCACGGCCCUAGCAUCUGGCAAGAGUCUUCCUGCUACAUGUAAACAUGGUGAACCCACAAGCAAGGAUGGGCUAGACAGCAAGAGAAUGCGAGGGCAACCUCGCCCUCAUCAAGGACAGGACCUGGCUGCAGUAACUAGCCCUUCUCGUGAUUACAGCAUUGAUCCUUUGCAGAGGGCAGAGCCCCUAUGGUCCCAACCACCUCUUCCUGGUUGCACCUCUUAAUACUGUCCCGGUGGCAGUUAAAUUUUGUCACGAGUUUUGAAGGGGAUGUUCAAAGCACACCAGGGGAGAUCAAAUCUAUUGAGCUCUUUUAAUUAUAUAGAUAAGAGAAUAGAAAAUAAACUAAACUAAGGUCAAAAUCGGAUUUUUUUUUAACAAAUAUGAAGAAUGAACAAAGCAAAAGGAAAGUUUCAGAGCUAAUUUUGUGAGCAAUGAAGAUCUGUGGGAGGGCUGCCUGUGCCCCACCCAGGGGAAUCACUGAAUGGGGUUGAGAUGAGCUCAGCGUCAUGACCACUGUCUCUUAGAUCCCACUGCAUGGAGUACAGCUUGGAGUGCGUACGUUUGGGAUGAAUUUAGAUUCUUUUCUGUGUCGUAUGAGAAGAUAGAUGAGCAUAGCGUGAUUUGAACUACAGCAAAAUACAAUCUACAAUGGAUGGUUAGAUGGAUAAAUGGAUGGAUGGAUGAAUGGAUGGAUGAAUGAUGGGAGGAUGGAGCUGUUGAUCAUAAAUGAUAUAGUUGAUAUAAAUGAUAUAGUUGAUCAUAAAUGAUAUAGAUGAUUAAGAUAUGGAUGGUGUAAACAGAUACAGAUGGUCUAGACCUGGAUGAUCUGAAUAUGGAUAAUCUAGCUUACUAGACUUCCACUUAUAGUUGGCCAUGUCCAAGAAACAAUACCCUCUUGAAAUAUUGCAGUAGUAUUCAAUUUCUGCCUUUACUUUUGAUUUAGGUAAUCAGACCAGAAAAUCUAAUCAGUAAUAAAGGAAUCCUAGAUUUGAGUUACAAUAGAAAUCCAGUUAUUUGUAUCUGUCUUCCAUGUGGAGUUAGUAAUGAUUUGUUAAUUAUUUUUCUAAUUAGUUUUAUGAUUAAACAUUGUAUUGGACCUUCACUGUGUCAUCAAAACUAAUCUCUGUACUCAGAAUCCCAUGAAAUUUUCUUUAUAAAGAUGAACAAAAAUGCUUUGUAAUGAAAAAAAGUUAAUAAAAAGAUUAAUUAAGCAAAAACACACCCAGAUUUCUAUUCAAAUUGAGUUAAUGUGCUCCCCUUUGUUAAAAUUAGGAAUGUAAGAUGUUUUUUGAGAUAGAUAUACAAUAAAAAGCCCAAAUAAUGACCAUAUGUUGUAUUAUUAAAAUAUGUACUCCGGACUGAAAUUUUCCCUCUGUGUGAAGAACCCUCCUACCAUGCUUGGAAAGCACUUCCUGUGUGUCACUUGUAUUGCUAUACAGAUGACAUAAAUCAUG